GUUAGCAAUGCUGCCUCAGAUGAGAAGGUCCCGGGUUCCCUUCCGACCUGGUCCUUUCUGUGUGGAGCUUGCGUGUUCUCGCCGAGUGCU
Molecule: long non-coding RNA, 90 nt
Organism: Thalassophryne amazonica
Lineage: Eukaryota; Metazoa; Chordata; Actinopteri; Batrachoidiformes; Batrachoididae
Exons: 3
Source: RefSeq, a predicted model, not a curated record